This 346-nucleotide long non-coding RNA is filed under the name Mytilus galloprovincialis (Mediterranean mussel). Lineage: Eukaryota; Metazoa; Mollusca; Bivalvia; Mytilida; Mytilidae. The record is from RNAcentral.
UAGAACAAGAAUGUGUCCCCAGUACACGAAUGCCCCACUCGCACUAUCAUUUUUUAUGUUCAGUGGACCAUGAAAUUGGGGUAAACCCUCUAAUUUGGCAUUAACAUUAAAAAGAUCAUAUCAUAGGGAACAUGUAUACUAAGUUUGAAGUCGAUUGGACUUCAACUUCAUCAAAAACUACCUCGACCAAAAACUUUAACCUGAAGCGGGACAGACGGACAAACAAACGGACGGACGGACGAACGAACGGACAGACGGACGAACGAACGGACGGACGAACGGACGAACGGACGCACAGACCAGAAAACAUAAUGCCCCUCUACUAUCGUAGGUGGGGCAUAAAAAC